RNAcentral lists this ribosomal RNA (301 nucleotides) under uncultured bacterium. Its description in RNAcentral is "partial 16S ribosomal RNA". It matches the Rfam family "Bacterial small subunit ribosomal RNA", at positions 509 to 807 of the family's 1533-position model. The record is from RNAcentral.
CAGCAGCCACGGUAAUACGAAGGGGGCUAGCGUUGUUCGGAAUUACUGGGCGUAAAGCGCACGUAGGCGGAUUUUUAAGUCAGGGGUGAAAUCCCGAGGCUCAACCUCGGAACUGCCUUUGAUACUGGAGAUCUUGAGUUCGGAAGAGGUUGGUGGGACAGCUAGUGUAGAGGUGAAAUUCGUAGAUAUUAGCUAGAACACCAGUGGCGAAGGCGGCCAACUGGUCCGAUACUGACGCUGAGGUGCGAAAGCGUGGGGAGCAAACAGGAUUAGAUACCCGCGUAGUCCCUGUCUCUUAUAC